RNAcentral lists this long non-coding RNA (531 nucleotides) under Vitis vinifera (wine grape). Its description in RNAcentral is "long non-coding RNA (VVIN_LNC003070)". Lineage: Eukaryota; Viridiplantae; Streptophyta; Magnoliopsida; Vitales; Vitaceae. The record is from RNAcentral.
AGAAGCUGAAACUAUGCAACCGGAGCUGAUUCUUGCUGCAGCAGAGACAGGGGAGAUAGUAGAUGCCUGAGAAUUUGUACAAGGGCAGUUUAGAUGAUUGAGAAGUUGAAUAAAUAAAGAGAAAAUGAGGACACUAAAUAGGGAUGAAUGAGAUUUAUGUUGAUAUGAUGGAUUUGGAGGGAUUGGGAUUCGAUUUCUUGUUCAUGGGCUUUGAUUAAAAGUAAAAGUAAUGGGUAGUUUUUUUCUUCCAAGUUGCUAGCCAUAUGAACCAAAGACAAUGAUGAAUAAGUCAAAAUUCAAUGGGAUGAAAUCAAAAGACCAGCCCGACUCGAAUCUCUGGUUGUGUAAUCCUGAUAAAUUCAUGGCAGAGGCAGAGUGACUAUAACUGAUAAAUUCAUCCAAUUGCCAUUCCUUUCCUGCCCAUCUCCCAUACCAAAUCUCAACUUGAUUCCGGGUUUGAAUCCAAAAAUCUCAACUUCCGUUCCAAAAUUGUCCUUAAAAAAUAUAUAUUUUUGUUUAAAUACCAAGUUA